This 297-nucleotide ribosomal RNA is filed under the name Scutellastra flexuosa. Its description in RNAcentral is "partial 12S ribosomal RNA". Lineage: Eukaryota; Metazoa; Mollusca; Gastropoda; Patellidae. The record is from RNAcentral.
GCUAUAAUCCAAUUAGGGGAACCUGUCCUUUAAUUCGAUAAUCCGCGAAAAUCUUACUUACUCUAGCCUAAUCAACAGCUUAUAUACCGUCGUCUAGCCAGCCUUGUCAAAAGAAAAGCCAGCAAGAAAGGCCUAAACACCCUAAAAAGUCAGAUAAAGGCGUAGCCUAUGAGUAAGCAGGAGGUGGGUUACAAUUAAAAACUUGAUAGUGGAAUUUUAAUGAAAUUUUAAAAAGAAAGAGGACUUAAAAGUAAUAUUUUAAAAAAACUGAAAUAUGAAUUCGGAAAUAUAGUGUGU